RNAcentral lists this ribosomal RNA (569 nucleotides) under uncultured bacterium. RNAcentral's name for it is "bacterial SSU rRNA". It matches the Rfam family "Bacterial small subunit ribosomal RNA", at positions 301 to 899 of the family's 1533-position model. The record is from RNAcentral.
UGCAUGCCUGCAGGUCGACGAUUGCCUACGGGAGGCAGCAGUGAGGAAUAUUGCGCAAUGGGGGAAACCCUGACGCAGCGACGCCGCGUGGGCGACGAAGGCCUUCGGGUCGUAAAGCCCUUUUGGCAGGGACGAGUGAGGACGGUACCUGCCGAAUAAGUCUCGGCUAACUACGUGCCAGCAGCCGCGGUAAAACGUAGGAGGCGAGCGUUAUCCGGAUUCACUGGGUGUAAAGCGCGCGUAGGCGGUUGGGUAAGUCGGACGUGAAAGCCCCUGGCUCAACUGGGGGAGGCCGUUCGAUACUGCCCGGCUUGAGGGUGAGAGAGGGAAGUGGAAUUCCCGGUGUAGCGGUGGAAUGCGUAGAGAUCGGGAGGAACACCAGUGGCGAAAGCGGCUUCCUGGCUCACUCCUGACGCUGAGAGCGCGAAAGCGUGGGGAGCAAACGGGAUUAGAUACCCCGGUAGUCCACGCUCUAAACGAUGAGGGCUAGGUGUUGGUGGGAUUUCCCAUCUGUGCCGAAGCAAGCGCGUUAAGCCCUCCGCCUGGGGACUACGAACGCAAGUUUAAAA